RNAcentral lists this ribosomal RNA (253 nucleotides) under uncultured bacterium. Its description in RNAcentral is "partial 16S ribosomal RNA". It matches the Rfam family "Bacterial small subunit ribosomal RNA", at positions 524 to 776 of the family's 1533-position model. The record is from RNAcentral.
UACGUAGGGGCCGAGCGUUGUCCGGAGUUAUUGGGCGUAAAGCGCGCGCAGGCGGCUUGGCGCGCCCGACGUGAAAGCCCCCGGCUUAACCGGGGAGGGUCGUCGGGUACGGCCAGGCUUGAGGGCGGGAGAGGGUGGUGGAAUUCCCGGUGUAGUGGUGAAAUGCGCAGAUAUCAGGAGGAACACCGAUGGCGAAGGCAGGUCUCUGGGCCAUAACUGACGCUGAGAAGCGAAAGCAUGGGGAGCGAACAGG